Long non-coding RNA from Megalobrama amblycephala (Wuchang bream), 517 nucleotides. RefSeq lists it as uncharacterized. Lineage: Eukaryota; Metazoa; Chordata; Actinopteri; Cypriniformes; Xenocyprididae. The transcript is spliced from 2 exons. The record is from RefSeq and is a predicted model, not a curated record.
CUUCCUCUUACCCCAUUAUUGAGGAGCUCCUGAAUCUUCCUGUACUCGACCGAGUCUCGUUCCAGCUUGUCUCUGUAAACAGUAAGCUGCUGUCGGUCCUUCAGGUCUCUAUACGUCUGAACGAACACAUGGAAAACACGAGCCACGCUGAGCUUGAGCUCGGGGUCGUCGAUGAGGUUCACAUACUCCUGCAGCACCUGCAGAUCAUGGGAAACUGCAGUGAGGUGCAUGCUGGGACGGGCCGAGAGGCAGUUUUAUUACAACAUGUAAUCUGAUGUACCUGAACAGGGGCGCUGUUCUUCUGCAGGAUGUCCACCACUCUGUGAAAGCCAACGGGAGACCUCUUCUUGGUGUAGCCCAGCCAGUUCUUGGUGUUGAACAGACUGUCCACAUCAAACCAGGAUUUCAACUUGGCUCUCGCGCCGAGAGCCGUGAGAAUGUACUGCUUUUCUGAAAUCUGGCCAAGAGGAAAGGAAACUCAAAACUGUCAUUAAAGACUUCCACAUAUGCUUAUUUA